Non-coding RNA from Tricharina praecox, 116 nucleotides. The record is from the annotation of a RefSeq genome assembly. Lineage: Eukaryota; Fungi; Ascomycota; Pezizomycetes; Pezizales; Pyronemataceae.
GGUCACAUGGUGUAAUGGUUAGCACGUCGGAUUUUGAUUCACCCUGGCAACAGGGCAAAAACCGCGGAUCGAAGAAAUUCCUUCCGGAGAUCUGGGUUCGAUUCCCAGUGAGACCU